AUGGCCAUGCAGAGAGAACGGAAACCUGCCUCAGUCCCACAGCCCUGGUUCCCUGUGCAGGCAGCACUGACUCAGUCAGACUCGCUGUCAGUGAACCCAGGAGAAACCGUCACGAUCACCUGCUCUGGGAGUAGUAGCAGCUAUGGCUGGUACCAGCAGAAGUCACCUGGCAGUGCCCCUGUCACUGUGAUCUAUUGGAAUGAUGAAAGACCCUCAGACAUCCCUUCACGAUUCUCCGGUUCCACAUCCGGCUCCACAAGCACAUUAACCAUCACUGGGGUCCAAGCCGAAGACGAGGCUGUCUAUUACUGUGGGAGCUACGACAGCAGUGCUGGUUAUGUUGGUUGCAGCACUGCAGGGUGGAACUGGAGAAUUGUGAUGGGAUGUUUGAGGGUCUGUUGGUGUCGCUAUGGAUCACAGUCUCAGCACCAUUACCAGGUUUCUCCUGGAACCAGCCAUAUUCAUGGCUACUACCAGAGUGACCAACCCCAAGCCACAGGGGCCCGGGCAAUGCCUGCAGGAGCAGAAUGCAAUGAAGCCCUGGGACCUGAUGUACAGAUCGAAGGAGAGCAGGAGGAAGGGGGGAAGGCCCUAGAGCCAGGCUGAGAGGAAGCAGCAGAGAAAAAGAGAACCUUUUGAACAUGCACGGUCUCAUUGUCUUAGGGAUCAGUGCCAUCUUCUGGCGCUGGGUGUUGUGUGUCAGGCACUUGCUAAGC
Lagopus muta (rock ptarmigan) is the source of this 716-nucleotide non-coding RNA. Lineage: Eukaryota; Metazoa; Chordata; Aves; Galliformes; Phasianidae. The record is from the annotation of a RefSeq genome assembly.